RNAcentral lists this long non-coding RNA (342 nucleotides) under Cricetulus griseus (Chinese hamster). Its description in RNAcentral is "lncRNA (ENSCGRG00015032751.1)". The record is from RNAcentral. Lineage: Eukaryota; Metazoa; Chordata; Mammalia; Rodentia; Cricetidae.
GUCGGCAUGGCUGAUCGGGAUCCGGGCCGCGGGGAAGCCCUGCUGGUCAUCCAGGCGUGCCGGGCCUCACACCUCCUCAGCGAGGGUUUUACAGUUGGGGUGCGGGUGUGGGUGUGGGUGGUGACACCGAUGGGGCAGCAGCCACUUGUUAGGGAUGUGGUGUAGUCAUUAGCUUUGACAAGACCAGCAAAACGGGGUUCCCAGAAGACAAAGCGUGGUGGUCCUGUCUGGCAGAGCUUCUGAUUGGAAGUUCAGCUCAGUGCAACCAGAACUCAAUCCGGACUCCAUGUCAGUGUGACCCUGUAGAAGUCGUGAUGCUCACAAACCUGGGAGGAACGCCAG